AUCUCUUUCUCUUUCUGAACAAAGUAUAUUAUUUAAUAAAAUAUUGAUGGUUAGAGUAAUACGAUUAUUGUAGAGUAAGUACUUUGUUCCUGGGAGGUUCCCUCUAAAUCCUCAGAAUUUCUCAAGUGAUAGGAGUGUCUUUGUUAUUCCUGGUGGGUCCUGAUAGUUUAUGUUAAAGUGACUCAGGAUGGGGACUGGCCACAUCAGAAAGUCCAAUCAUGUGAUUCAAGGGUUGGGGCUUUCAGCCACAUGACAUCAGCCUAACCUCUAGGAAAAGGAGGAGAAAUGGAAAUUGAGCUCAGUCACAUGACCAUGAUUCAAUCAAUCUGGCUUACAUAAUAAAAAUCCAAUAAAAACUCUAGACACUGAAGCACAGGUGAACUUCUUGGUGGAAAUACACAUUGGAAUGUGUUAUGGAUGGAAUGUUUGUAACCCUCCAAAACUCACACGUUGAAAUCUAAUUCCUAAUGCCAUAGUGUUUGGAAGUGGGCCUUUGGGAGAGUGAGCCAUCAUGAAUGGGAUUAGUGUCAGAGAGCUAGCUUGCUUGCUUUACACCAUGUGAGGACAUUGCUAGGAGACAGCUGCCUGUAAACCUACAGGAGGGCCCUCACCAAGAACCUGACCCUGCUGGCACCCUGAUCUCAAACUUUCCACCUCUAGAACUGUGAGAAAUAAAUGUUAAUUCACCCAGUUUAUGAAAUUUUGUUAUAGCAGCCCAAGCUGGCUGAGACAAAAGGUGACACAUGUCCUGAGGACACAGAAGCUUCUUGGGACACUCCCAGACUUUGCAUUUGGGGCCUCUUUCAGCUUGUCCUGAUAUGUAUCCUUUCUAAUGAAACUGUAAUUCCAAAUUCUUGAGUUCUGUUCAUUAUAUUGAAUUAUGAAAACUUACGGGGUAGGGGAAAUACUCAAAUUUGUAACCAGCUAGUCUAAGGUGUGAGUGGACUGGGUGAUAUUGUGAAAUAUAUAUUUGGCCUCUGCCUGAAGGUCAGGAGAUAGGGUUCCUAAGCCCCUUGGAGACAGAAGUGCUAGGAGAAUCUUUUGUUCUAAUAUAUGGUCUUUGACCCUGGUUCAUGACAUAGAAUUCCUAACAUCUUUGCAAUUUCUGAGUGGUAGUAACAUCUAACACAGAGCUCCUAAAUCCCUUGGAAUUGGUAACAGAAGCAUCUUGUGUGCUAAUAAGAUGACUCUUGGCGGGUCCUGGAUAGCCUUAGGAUGUGAGCUGGUUGCCCAGGGAACCAACCAUGUGAUUAGAGCACUGAAACUUUCAGGACCACCCCCCACCCCCACUCCCGACGAACUGAUUUCUGAGGAGAGGAAAGGGGCUGAUGGUUAAGUUGAUCGCCAGUGGCCAAUGAUGGAAUUAAGCAUGGCUACAUGAUGAAGUCUCCAUUAAAAAAAAUAAUAAUAAAAUAAAAUAAGAAACAGGACAAGGUUCAAAGAGCUUCCAGAUUGCUGAACACGUGGAGGUGGUGGGAUGGUGGCAUCCCCAGAGAGGGCAUGGAGGGUCUGUGCUUCUUCCCAUAUUCAUCAAUCAUCAUUCAAUUCGUCUAUAUCAUUUGUCAUAUUUUUUUAAGAGACAGAACCUCACUCUGUCACGUAGGCUGGAAUUCAGUUGCACAAUCAUAGCUCACUGCCGCCUUGAACUCCUGGACUCAAGUGAUCUGCCUCAGCUCCCCGAAGCACUGGAUGUUAGGCAUAAUCCACCACACCCAUCCUAUGGUAUUCUUUAUAAUAAACCAGUAAAUGUAAGUAAGCAUUUCCCUGAGUUCUGUGAGUUGUCCUAGCAGAUUAAUCAAACGAAGAGGGAGCCAUGGAGACACCCAAUUUAUAGUGGGUUGGUCAGAAGCACAGGUCACAACUGGGGACUUGUGACUGGCAUCUGAAGUGGGAGGAAGUCUUAUGGGACUGAGAGCUGAACCUGUGGGAUCUGACACGAUCUCUAGGUAGAUAGUGUCAAAUUGAGAUAAAUUGUAGGACAUUCCAUUGGUGUCCACUGGAGAAUUAAUUGUUGGUAGGGAGAAAUCCAUCCCCCUCAACAUAUACAUUUUGUUGGCCCGAAGUGAAAUGUUCUAUACAAUGUUGUAUGGCUGUGUAAAAAAACAAAAACUGUUUUGCUAAAGACCUCAGAACGCUUGAACUUGCAGCUGGUAUCUGAAGAGAGGAGAGUCUUGUGGGAGGUUGUGCUGUAACCUGCGAAGUUUGCAGUAACUCCAGGUAGUUAGCAGCAGAAUUGGAUUGCAAAACUCAAGGAAGAAAUAGGUAUAAAAUGACUCCUAAGAGUAAGACAUUAUAUGCCACCAAAAAAAUUGCAGAAAAUGGGGUACAAUUUGUAUGCUAUCUGAAAGCAAAAGAACUGUGAAGUUUUGAAAAACCAUCUUUCUUUAUUAAAAUAUUUAACUUUAACCUGGGAUUAGUUGCUCACCUUCAUUCAGUCAUUUUUGUGGCUCACAACAGUCAGUGCCCAUUGAAGGCCUUGCAGGCACUUCAGGUUUUCUAAGAACUAAAUCAUCCAAUAAAUAUGACUUCAUCCAAAGAAAACUACCAAUACAACAGGACUUACUUGUCCACCUUCUCUCUCCUUGAUGCUUAACUUUUUAAUGUUAUUCAGGAAGAUUUUAGAUGCAUAUAACACAUCCAUUGGUUACCACAAAUGCUUUUUUCCAAUCAUUCGUUCAUUAGACAUGUAUAUAUUAGCAAACCACUAUGUGUCCAGCUCUGGGCAACAGAUAGCGAAAAGAAUAGCAACCUUGGCCUCAGAACUUUUCUGAAGCUCUAUUUGCUAGCUCUGUGACCUUCAGCAAAUCAUUUGCCCUUUCUGUAAGAUAAGGAGAUUGGACUAGAUGACAUUAUUGGGGUAUAAAUGUCCUGUCCAACUCUAAAUGCUAUUGAUUCUUUGUGUCAGCCUACAUUUCCUGGGAGACUGAAGCAUGACUUCUUCACCGCGUGUUUGCCAACUCUCUUGUGAGUCUUGCCUCAGCUCAUUCUCAAACUCCCCCUCCUUGUUCCAUAAAUCUGCAUACGAAAGGACCAGACAGCUGUAGCUCUCAACAGCUUUGGUUUUCAUCAGUGCCUGUGUCAUCCUGUGUGCUGAAGCUGCUUUUUAAAGGGGCCAAGCCUCCUUUAAACAAUUCUAAAUAUUUUUGAAGAUACAAACCAGAGCAUAACAAGCUUACAAAUAGAUAAAGCAGUAGAGUUUUUCCACAGGUGGUUAAACUAACAAGAAGAUAUCUUUGUGGGAAAUUUCCUAUGAUGUAGGUUGAUUGUAGAGGGAACCAGAGCAACCUUGGAGAAGCUAGGAUAAUGUUAGACAGUGGGAAGAAAUCAGGGAGAAAGGUAGCAUCAGCAAAGGAGGCAGGACACAGGGAAGAAAAGCUGAGUUCAGAGAGGACAUCCUGCAUGCUACACACUCUGCCAGGUGUGCUAUCCAUAUUCACCUAAAUUUCCCCACAAAACCAAAAAUGAGUCAUAGUUGUAAGGAAUGAUACUGCAGCUGAAAAAAAUACCACUGCUAGAACAACAAAGACUACUGAUGAGUUUGUUAAAUAAGUCAAAGAUAGAGAAAUAGACAUUCCCACAUUCAUACCCUUUGCUAUGGUUUGAAUCCAUGACUCAAAAUUCUAGUGUUGAAAACAUAGUCUCCAAUACAGCAGUGCUGGGAAGUGGGGCCUAGUGGAAGGUGUUUAGGUCAUAAGGGCUCUGGCCUUCUGAGUGGAUUAAUUCCAUUAUAAAAAUGGCUUACAAAAGUGUCUUCUCUCUCUUCUGCAGAGCAGAAGACACAGCCUUCAUCUCGUCUUCCCCUUCCACCUUCUGCCGUGUGAGGACACAGCAAGAAGGCCAAUCCCAGAUGCUGAAACCUUGAUCUUGGACCUCCCAGUCUCCAGAGUGUUUGAUCCUUGGGAAGUAUAAAAGAAUAGAUUAUGAAAAUCUUGAUGCCCUGUUGGAUGUGUCCAAGGGUUAUUCAAUGUCAAAGACAUAACAACCUGGUAAAAAGGGAAGCCUGCACAGACAGGCCUCCUUAUCCGUGUAUUCAGCAAACCCCACCAGCUCUCCUCAUCCAGUGGCCGUAAGAGCAGUACCUCAACAUGAAUAACAGCAACGCCUUGCGCUCAUAUAAUGCUCUCUGGUUUACAAAGUGCUUUUCAUAUUGGGUUUGUUUCUUUUUAAUGAGAGGGAAAGUUAUAUGAAGGAUUUUAUUCCCUUAGAAGACAGGAGACUUUUGGCAAGAUUUUGAAUCUUUCCUCUGUGGCCAAUUAGUGACAAUUCCACUUUUGCAAGACAGCCGUCUCCCUGUCCAAUUUGACAAGGCAAAGCAAGAAGACUGGCACUAAAUUCGGUGCCAACAGUAGUUCAAAAUCUCACCACCAUCAAAAUAUGAAUUUGGAUGCAAAAUUCCAGAGCUUGCAUAGUCUGCUACGGCCUCCAAAGAGGCUGAAUUGUAAGCAGAGUCAGCUUCUAAAAGGAGGAGGUUGGUGGCAGUGUAAAUGGCAUACCCUUUCUGCAGAGGAAGUUCAGCAACAUAUUUACAAUGAAAGCAAAAUUGCAUAAUUGUGCAAAAACAUACAUACCAAUAUAUUUAUUUCAGCUUCAUGUAUAGUAGGAAAAAAUAGAAGGGAGGGUAUUUAUCAACCUAUAGGUAGUUAGUUAAACAAAAUAUGGCAAAAUGAUUAACUGGAAUACCAUGUACCCAAUAAUAAAAAUACAAUGUUAUACCACAUGGGGAUGGGUAGAUUAGGCUAGGUAUUAAAGAACCUAAUAGGCUGUGAUAACGCAAGAGUUGGACUUUUUCUCAGUGUGAAUUAGAAAGCCACUGGAAAUUUUUGAACAUAGAAGUGACAGGAUUUGACUUACAUCUUCAAAGGAUCCCUUUGGCACUAUGUCAAGAAGAAACUACGGCAGGACUGUGGGAGGAAGCAAUGGUGAUACACCAGGGGGGCUGGUGAUGGCUCAGAGCAGGUGCUGUCAGCAGCGGAGGUGGGGAAAGUGCUUAAAGUCUACAAACGGUGAAGGUCAAGAAAGCAUGAUUUUUUUAAUAUAUUGGGUAUAAGGUGUGAGAGAAAGUGAAGAGUCAAAAAGGACCCCCAGGUUUUGAUUAAAUAGGUGUGUGUGUGUGUAUGUGUGUGUGUGUGUGCAUGCAUGAGUAAAGCACAAAAGAACGCACCCCCAAAAUAACAGGGUGGUUGCUGAAUAAUUAGAUAACAGAAGAUCUUUAUUUUCAUCUUUCCACUUUUGUUUGGGAUUAUGCAAGGAGCAUGUGUUACUUCAAAAUUUAAAAGCUAUUUUUUUUAGAUAAACUGAUGACAUUAAGAAUAAGAAACAGUUUGCCUAGCAUAUAUUUUUUUGGUCAGCCACCUUUUGUUGCAUGACAACCAAGCCUCAUAGAAUAGCAAGCAACAACUCUGGAAUGUGAAGCAAUAUCUGACCCCCAACCUGCCCAGUUUUAGGAUUCAUAGCAGGUUGCAUAUCUCUAUCUGGGUCUUUUCUAACUGAAAGAAGAAAUUUGCUAAGGCCUCCCACACGAUGAACCUGAAGAUUAACACCACGGAGUCAGCACACCUGCCAACCAAACCACAUAAGUAAACCUCCAUCUGUGUAGUGAAAUGACUAAUUCUUAUUCUCAUUAACCCUCUUAGAUAGCAUAUUUGAGUCUUCCUCUUUUUUAAAAUUUUUAUUUUCUCUUUACAUUUUCAUAGGCCUAUAGCAUGCAUACAUUUUAUUUUGGUAAACCACCUCAAAUCCUUUUAUUAAAUAUAUGGAGUGAAAUAAAUACAUACAUAAAUAGCUGGUUGUUUUUUUUCUCCACAUCCCCCUCCUUUGAUUCCACAUUUACCUGCUUGAUUUAUGUCUUGCUCACCAUCAUGCUAUUCAUUCUCCUAACUUCUUUCCUCUACUGUGCAAUUAACAGAAGUCAUGAGGAGAACCAUGCAGCUGAGAAAAAUAUUCAGAUAAAGGUCUGCAUGCCACACCAUGCUAUUAGGAGAAACAGUCCAAACAAAUCUAAUACAUAAGUAAUACACUGGGUCCAGGGAGCUGUGUAUGAACUUGGGCAGAUAUGCCCUCAGCAGACACUCGUCACAGCAGGAAUGGGGUACCCCUGAAUGUGAAUCUCUUCAUUCUGCAGUAAAGAUUAAUAAAACCUGAUUGUGACCCAAAAAUUGUGACAUGAUACACUGCAGGAUAAACAAAAUUGUUCUCAGAGCAGAGGUAGAUUUUCCAGCAUUAUAUGGAAGAACUUCUGAUAAUUUGCAUAAAACCAGAUCUCUUCCAUUUCAGCAAACCUCCCUUCUCCAGUGCAGCUGCACCAUUCACUUUUUGUCCUUCAACAUGUGCACACCUUGAACCAAUGGAUCAGUGAUAAUUCCAAGCUGUGCUUCUCCCUGGGCUACUUAUGACGGGGACUUUUGCAUUUCUAGCUCAUCUCAUGGCAAAUAUUCCAACACUUGGAAGUUAGGCACACAGUCUGUGCAUGUACUAGGCAUGUGGCUUUCUGCAUAUGUCUGCACAUCAUUUUUCAGGAAACUCUAUUUCACACUACACCAGCUUGAUGAGUAGCUGUUGUUCACACCCACUGAGAAAUAACUUCAUGUGAGAAUAAUACCUUUACAACUUUGAAAUGUCCUCAGACAGACUUCUCAUCUCCAGGCCAUCAACCUGCUGUGAACUCUCAUCCUGACUUUUCACACUUACAGGCAACAGUCGUGCAACAUACUGUCAAACAAUAUGAAGGUCUGGGGAGAUGUGGAGGAGUGCAAAAUUAAAUUGGAGCCAGAACAUCUUUUUAGCUCAGUAGAAUUUUUAAUAAUUAAAAAAAUCCACCAUAUAUGCAAGUAUAUUCAUAUUUGGUGUCUAUUUAAAACUUCUUCUCCAUGUCUCUGAAGUGUGUCUAGAUUUCUUAUCCUUAUUGUCAUUCUUUUUGUUGAAGGAUAGUGUAUGAAUUCUGCAUCUGUGGUCUCUGUCCUCAAGAUACUUCCUAAUUCCAUCUUCUUCAAGUAUUUCUGAUCAAAAAUCUCAGUCUUUUCUUUAAGACGCAAUUAUUAUAACACUGAAGCAAUUAAGAGCUUGGUGGGGGGUCUGAAUUUUCUCUUUGAGAACUAUCCAGAAAUAAUUUUAGUCCUCUUUGUUGAAAAUCCAGCAAAAGUUAGGCAUUCAAUGAAUAGCUCUGUAGGAAGAAAUAGAAUAACCAACUCUUUCAUUCAACAAAUAAUUCAACCCCUGAAAUGUGCCAGACUGUGAGUCUGCUCAGCAAGGUGAGUCGGAUGUGGAUCUGGGCCUCAAGGAAACUCACUCGAGCUCAGCGGAAGAGCUGACAUGUCAAUUACAGUCUCCCCAAUUCAACAAGAACACUUCUCAGCAAGGACUGAAUUACACACAUCAAACUUCUCCUGUUAAUUUUUAGUUAAGUAGAAAGUUCAAUUAAGUGGAAAUCAACUCACUCUUAGUGUUUAAUUCUUUCAGUUAAUGUCCAACUAGCUCAACAUCUGGAACUCAGUUCAACUCAACAAAUGUUAUUGAGUUGAUUCCCAUAGAGUGCAGCAUGCAAGGUGCUUCGUACAAAGAAGACACUGGUAAGAGAGAGGAUGACUGGUUAAUGACAAUCUGCCAACCUGGACAGAAGAGUGGGCUAGUACACAGUACUUGUCAUUCAGAGCAAUAAGAGUAACAACAGCAGAAUACAAGAUAUGGGCACUGAUUAUAGAGGUUCAAGGAAAAAGCAGGGCAACAAAGAAUUAAUUGAGCAGCCUCCUUCCUGUCUGUAGAUGCACAAUCAGGAGGCCUGAAUGGGUCCUGACCCAAGACACCUUCUAGAAGUUAUUUCAAAAGUGACCAGCAUCAGUUAGUUCCCUUUCGAUUCACCCCUCUCCUAAAGAGUCAUUAGAGAGAAAAUCUGAUAAAUUAAAGCUCUGAGUAGUUUAAUUCUGUUUAAUAAGAGUUGUCCUGAAUACAUAAUUUUGGAUUUCUUCUUUAGACUUACAAGAUAUUUUUUAUGUAAAUUAUUGUUUGAAUGUGAAACUUAAAAAAGUGUGUACAUAUAAGCAUAAUAAUAUAUGCUUUAUAUUUAUAUAAUGUAUAAUAUAUAUCUUAUAUGUAUAUAAUGUAUAAUAUAUACAUUUGUAUGUACAUACAGAACACAAAUAAUAAGUAUAGACAGAAGGUUCUUGAAUACUAACAUUUUGUUCAAAAUCAUUCUGUUAUAACAUUGAUGAGAAAAAAAAUUGAUUCCCACCCAGGGCCACUGUCUGUAUGGAAUUUGCACGUUCUCCCGAAGUCUAUGUGGGUUUUCUCCCACAUUCAAAAGAUGUGCAUAUCAGGUUCACUGGCAUGUCUGAGUGGUCCCAGUCAGAGUGACUGCAGGUGUGUGUGAGUGCACCCAGUGAUGGGUAGGUGGCCUAUCCUGGCAUGUCUGAGUGGUCCCAGUCAGAGUGACUGCGGGUGUGCAUGAGUGCACCCAGUGAUGGGAAGGUGGCCUGUCCAGGGAGGGCAUCCUGUCCAUGGUAGGUUCCUGCCUUGGGCCCUGAGCUGGGAGAAUAGGCUCUAGCCACCCACAACCCUGAACGGGAAUAAUUUGGUAAGCAAUGAUCUUACUUGUUUUUAUUCGUCUUUCUUAAAUGUACAUAUAUCUCACAUUUAUUUCAAUGUUUAAUAUUAAAGUGUUC
This 8654-nucleotide long non-coding RNA is filed under the name Homo sapiens (human). Its description in RNAcentral is "HSALNT0138000". Lineage: Eukaryota; Metazoa; Chordata; Mammalia; Primates; Hominidae. The record is from RNAcentral.